Molecule: ribosomal RNA, 490 nt
Filed under: uncultured bacterium
Lineage: Bacteria
Description: partial 16S ribosomal RNA
Rfam family: Bacterial small subunit ribosomal RNA
Source: RNAcentral
AUUGAACGCUGGCGGCAGGCCUAACACAUGCAAGUCGAACGGUAACAGGAAACAGCUUGCUGUUUCGCUGACGAGUGGCGGACGGGUGAGUAAUGUCUGGGAAACUGCCUGAUGGAGGGGGAUAACUACUGGAAACGGUAGCUAAUACCGCAUAACGUCGCAAGACCAAAGAGGGGGACCUUCGGGCCUCUUGCCAUCGGAUGUGCCCAGAUGGGAUUAGCUAGUAGGUGGGGUAACGGCUCACCUAGGCGACGAUCCCUAGCUGGUCUGAGAGGAUGACCAGCCACACUGGAACUGAGACACGGUCCAGACUCCUACGGGAGGCAGCAGUGGGGAAUAUUGCACAAUGGGCGCAAGCCUGAUGCAGCCAUGCCGCGUAUAUGAAGACGGCCUUCGGGUUGUAAAGUACUUUCAGCGGGGAUGAAGGGAGUAAAGUUAAUACCUUUGCUCAUUGACGUUACCCGCAGAAGAAGCACCGGCUAACUCCGUG